This 510-nucleotide long non-coding RNA is filed under the name Mytilus galloprovincialis (Mediterranean mussel). Lineage: Eukaryota; Metazoa; Mollusca; Bivalvia; Mytilida; Mytilidae. The record is from RNAcentral.
AGCUUAUUCAAAAAAUAGCAUAAAAUAUGAGCAGGUUCUUUCAGGUUCGUGUUGCUUAGUUUCUAGUUUUCUACGUUGUGUACUAUUAUCUCUCUGUUUGUCUUUUUUUCUUUUUUAGCCAUGGCGUUGUCAGUUUGUUUUCGAUCUAUGAGUUUGAAUGAUCCUCCUGUAUCUUUCGCCCCUCUUCUUUAGCUUGUUUUUAAAUAGCUGCAAUCAUUUUCAUACGAAAGGAAAGUGUUAUUUAAAUACUUGUGUGUAUUGUGUAUCUAUAUAUGAGAUCGUGAUUCUAGAGUGCUGUUAAUUUCAUGUUCAACUUUAAAUUACAUGUUCCUUGUGUCCAUUUGUCGCAACUAAGAAGCCCUGUUCAUAGUUUGCUAUUAUCAUGUCUUAAUGUUUUUGGUCUUGAUGCAAAGUAUAUUCAUAUGAUUAUCCCCGACUUAGAUCGUGACAAACUGAACAUAUAUCAGGUUAUUUUUCAUGCUUUAUAUUUCGUAGAUAAAUGCAUUUUUG